GCAAGUUCGAGGACGUCCCGCGCCGGACCCGGCAGGGGGACGGCGUGGCGACGCUCCGAGGCAAGGAAAAGUCGAAGUGGGACGAGGCUCGAGCAGGCCCGGCGUCCUUUGCGGCCCCCGGUCCCCCUGUCCGUGGUCCUCCCCCGCUUCGCUUCGUCCACAAACCCUUUCGGUGUACCAUCCCUUGUUGCUUUCCCGGGCUCCACGACGCGUCCGCGCGUCUCGCCCGGGAAUAGAUCAAAGCCAUUUGAGAAUUGUCGUCUGACACGGUGGCCCCACAGGGUCUCCGAAAAAUUGGAAAUCGUUA
Molecule: unclassified non-coding RNA, 307 nt
Filed under: uncultured fungus
Lineage: Eukaryota; Fungi
Description: sequence contains ITS1
Source: RNAcentral